Molecule: ribosomal RNA, 495 nt
Filed under: uncultured bacterium
Lineage: Bacteria
Description: partial 16S ribosomal RNA
Rfam family: Bacterial small subunit ribosomal RNA
Source: RNAcentral
GAUGAACGCUGGCGGCGUGCCUAAUACAUGCAAGUAGAACGCUGAAGGAGGAGCUUGCUCUUCUGGAUGAGUUGCGAACGGGUGAGUAACGCGUAGGUAACCUGCCUGGUAGCGGGGGAUAACUAUUGGAAACGAUAGCUAAUACCGCAUGACAACAGUUAUUGCAUGAUAACUGUUUAAAAGGGGCAACUGCUCCACUACCAGAUGGACCUGCGUUGUAUUAGCUAGUUGGUGAGGUAACGGCUCACCAAGGCGACGAUACAUAGCCGACCGGAGAGGGUGAUCGGCCACCCUGGGACUGAGACACGGCCCAGACUCCUACGGGAGGCAGCAGUAGGGAAUCUUCGGCAAUGGACGGAAGUCUGACCGAGAAACGCCGCGUGAGUGAAGAAGGUUUUCGGAUCGUAAAGCUCUGUUGUAAGAGAAGAACGAGUGUGAGAGUGGAAAGUUCACACUGUGACGGUAUCUUACCAGAAAGGGACGGCUAACUACGUG